Molecule: long non-coding RNA, 1670 nt
Organism: Neomonachus schauinslandi (Hawaiian monk seal)
Lineage: Eukaryota; Metazoa; Chordata; Mammalia; Carnivora; Phocidae
Exons: 3
Source: RefSeq, a predicted model, not a curated record
CUAUUCAUUGCACUUAAUGCAAAUUAGGUGGCCCAUCACUUGCUUUUAUUCCAUUCCAUAGAAGUACCUUUGUGCCUCUGGAGCUGAGCACAGGCUGUAAUAGUUGCCUUUGAGUUUAAAUCUUUGUGAAAGCAGAGAAAUUCUCUAUUUGAACAUUUGAUGUGUAUGAGAUUUUUCAGUAAUUUUUAGACAUGAAUAUGUUGAUCCCAUUCAUUAAAGGAAGAGACUCUUGUUAUAAAUAUGAUAGAACUUGUUCACUUUAUUUUCAAGUAUCUAUUGGGAUAAUUUUCACUUCUGGCUGCCUAAAGUGACCACACAAAAUGUAGUUUAGUCUACCUUUUAAACCUAAGUUGUAGAUUAUAGACACAUUUUCAAUGUGCAACACAACAGGAGGCAUUCUUGUUAAAUUAGUUUGAGAAAUUCCUUUUAUUUUGUACAAGGUACAGUCCCUUUGCACAGUGAACAAAUAUAUUACAAAUCUGGGUUAUUUAAAAAAGUAUUGCCAUUUCAUAGUCUCACUUAUGCUAUUGUACAAUAAUAGUGUUUUCUUUAUUCAUUUGAAUUGAAUGCAAAUUACUUUGAGUGAAAACUGGUUUCUGUAAAAUAAACAGAUCUUUCCAAGUUGCCAACAAAAUGCACAGUGCACAUAUUUAGGUUGACCAUGAACCUAUGUGUGACAGUGCUAGACAGAAGUUCCUAACAGUUGCUCUGUAAGAUUGAAAUGUCUUUUACCAGUAACUCUUAGAUCUGUGAAGGCAGCUGUUGUCACCAGAGAUGAAUCACACCCUCUGCCUUUCCCUUCUCUGUAUUGCCUAAUUUGAAUUGUAUUACAUUUCUUUAACAGUCAUAGAAUGCUAGAGCCAGAGGGUUGUUAGAGCUUCUUCCCUCUCUCUCCUUCUCCCCUUUUUAAUAUGUGAGGAAGAAAGGAGCCCAGAGAGGGCAAGUAACACUCAAAUCUCUUAACCCCAUGUUUUAGCAGUUCCAUCAUGCUCCCUCUUGCUGAAUUUUGCCCAUAAGAUAGUUGGCAAACAAGAGGCGACACUUGAAACUGGCAUGAUGCUGCUUGUUUGCAGUGUGCCAGGCAGCAGUUACUGUACAUGCAGGGUAGGGGAAGAAGAUAAAGCCUGGGAUGGAGAUGAAGUUUCUCCUGGCUGAUCUGACUUCGCCAUGCUUCUUGAUCCUUGCUUUACAAAGAUAAUUGAGCACUUGCUGCCGUGAAAUACUGAGGCUUUUGUGGAAAGGAAAUUUGCUAUUGCUGAUCACUUGCUCCCAUGCACACAUGCAGCAUUCAUGUUCUAUACUACAUCAAGCUCAAGAUUUAUGAAGAAAUGCAUGAAAGCAAGUACUCUUCUGAGUCAAGGGAUGCCAAUCAAAUAAAUUCGGGAGGCCUUUAGGGAUACUUCGUUCUUACCAGUCUGUGACUGCUUGCUAAAAGGCAUCAUCUCAGAGUUCUGUUUCACAUGGAAUGACUCAGGUGUUGGAUGGAUUGAGGAGCUAUGACCAGGCUAGGAAUGACUUGGCAAUGUUCUCAAACUUUGAAUCAGCAAGAUUUGGUAAAGCUGGCCUAGAAAUCAUUAUAGACUGAAAGAGGCUGCUGCGCUUUGAAAACUCCUACUACCACGAAGGGCAGAAGAGGGAAAGUUAAUUUGUAUUUAUUAAAGUCUUAUUUU